GACCCGACGUUGAAUUGCAUAGUUAAAAUUCUAUGUCGGGCAGAAAUGAGCGUUUCGAUUAGGAACGUUUCCUCUCUCGACCUCCACAAGUCAGAAUGCUGAAGUGGUACUUUACCGGUUGUCCGUGUGCUUGGUCCUUUUUGCAGGAUAUACAUUGGGAGACGUCUCAGCACCUACUGAUGCUGAUGCUGCGUUCUGACACCAGUCACCCCUGUUGUGACUCAUACAGCUGGCAUGCCUUCAAAUGGGACAACUUCGGAAUCAUACAGCUGACAUGCCUUCAAAUGAGACAACUUCAGAAUCAUACAGCUGGCAUGCCUUAAAAUGGGACAACUUCAGAAUCAAGGGAGAAGGGGUUGAUAUAGCAUUCUCCAUUUUAGCUGAUUGCCUCAAAUCUUAUCUUCUUCACCCUGGUGAAUGCUUUGUACUGCUUCUUUCUCCCAGAAAUGCCUUGAAUCAGGAACUGCUUUGUGCUACCUUGUUCCUCGCAGUAUUUAGAAUGUUGUUUUAUAUUGAUGGCUGCCAAUCAGCAUUCAUGUUUAUCUCAUUUUCUUUUGCAUGUCGAGUUUGUGGUGUGCCUGAUUGUUAUGUUCAAGGGAAUGAUUCAUGUGAAUGAAUAUUAAUUGUGAAAUAUUUCCUUCACUAAUGUUCUUUGAGAAAUUACUUAAAUGAGUACUGAAAAAGUACAAUGUAUGUUUGAGUUAUUUAGCAGACACUCUUAGCCAGAGUGACUUACAGGAGCAAUUCUGGUUAAGUGCAUUGCUCAAGGGCACAUUGACAGAUUUUUCACCUAGUCUCAGGAUUUGAACCAGCAAAGUUCUUAACCACUAGGCUACCUGCUGCAUUUGAAAUCAUUCCAUAAUUUUCUCUGAACACCUCAACUUACUGAAUAGACAUCUACAGUAUGCCAUCAGACUCAUUUCACCUGUUUAAAUUAAUGGAGGCAUAAUGCAAAUGAACAUUAUUUGAUUUUAUUUAACUUUGGUCAACAUAAACAUAUGAAUACAUUGCCACCAUGUUAAUUAUUAAACAGAGAAAUGCUUUUUUACCAGUGUUCCUGUUUUAAAUGUUAUAAUCAGUACAUAUGUCAAUUCAACCUUCAUUUUUGCAUUGGUAACUUGGAAAACAAAUAUGCACUUUUGAUCCCAAUAAAUGAUUUAAGGGCACAUGUAAGAGGCUUGUCGUAAUGUCCUCUUACGACACGAAGAACCAUCAACUUUCCAUGUUUUG
Molecule: long non-coding RNA, 1230 nt
Organism: Oncorhynchus kisutch (coho salmon)
Lineage: Eukaryota; Metazoa; Chordata; Actinopteri; Salmoniformes; Salmonidae
Exons: 2
Source: RefSeq, a predicted model, not a curated record